This 2381-nucleotide long non-coding RNA is filed under the name Limulus polyphemus (Atlantic horseshoe crab). RNAcentral describes it as "uncharacterized LOC106463789, transcript variant X3". The record is from RNAcentral. Lineage: Eukaryota; Metazoa; Arthropoda; Merostomata; Xiphosura; Limulidae.
AAACCGGGUUUUGAUACCCGUGGUGGGCAGAGCACAGAUAGCCCGAUAUGUAGCUUUGUGCCUAAAUUACAUACAACAAAUAUUCAAUGGAGAAAACAGGUAUUAUCUUCAAAGAAGAAGAAAGACACCUUGGACGAAGUCAACUUCAGUGGAUUUCUGGACCAUGUAUUAAGGGAAACUGCAUACGCUUAGAAUAAACAGAAAACAUUGAAAAUGUUUACAUUAAAAUGAGAAGGUAGAAAAUGCAUGGUAUUGCUGUAUAGCACAAUAAGUCUUAUAACCUACUUGUUAGUUAUAAGUUUACCUGAGAAUACCACAAGAGUUUUCCGUAAAUAUGGAAAUCUAUUUUCUAAUGGUCGUUAUAACAACGUCUUGAUUCAUAAAAAAACCUCAAAAUCUCAAAUAAAUGCGACCAAAGUAAUUAAGCUUAAGUGAAAUGUGGAAUAACGGAUGCAGUAAAAGCAAAAGAUUUUAUUUAAUUAUCAAUUCAGGUCAAGACUCUUCCCCCAACCAGUGCUAGAAUGAAAUUCAUGUGUCACUUUUUUCUUUCCUUGUUGUGUCAGGUUUUCUAUACCUGUUGUCAGUAUUUUGCAGCUUACUUGCCAAUAAUAUUGAUACGAUGUAAUUUAGUUAGUAUGAACGAAAAUCGUGUGUUUAAGUACUUAAGAAGAAGUUAUGUAUUUACAAAUUACCUUGCAUUUUAUUAGUUAUUUAUAGAUACGUAUGCAGAGAUAUAUAUAUUGGAUCCACUGUACAUCUUAUGAGCUGAUAAGAGAGCACUCAGACAGCAGAAAUAAGGAAAGUCUCAGAAUAGUCUAAUGUGUGGAAUAGUUGUUGCCAAAACGACUGAAUUCUUGAUCAUCAGUUCAGUGGGAACUUGUGGUGAGUGCCUAAGCCGUUAGGAGAACAAUUUAGACAAAGAUAGAAAAAAGUAAAGGAGUUUGUGAAUAACCAGGAGGACAACAAAUUUAACCAACUGUUCCCUCAUCUUGAUUUGUUUUGGGUACCAUCUUACUGGUCGGGAAAAAUCCUCAACCUUCCAAUCUCUUUCUAGAUAUGAUUUUUCAGGAGUAACUGUUGUGACGACUUCUUGGAUAUGUAGACACAGUUCUUUCUUACUUGGAACCUUAUUAGCAUAAACCAAGUCCUUUGUGAAGAAACAUAAAGAAUCCAUAAGUGUAAUGUCUGGAGAAUGUGUCGGCCAGCUGAUUGGACCUCUCUGUCGACUCCACUGACUGAUUGGAGGAUAUUUCAUCAAGUAUGUUACAGGUGCUAAGGCUCUUGUCUGGUCGAGCACUGUCCUGUUGAAAUAACAUGUUAAUAAUAUCUACCAGUGAUAUAAACAUUAUUUUUCCAUAUGAAACAAAUGGUAUAUCUUUAUACCACCCUGUUUCAAGGCAAUUAGACUAUUACUAACAGAUCCAUGGUGCAACUAUGGACUUUCCAAUUUCAAUGAUUGUAGUAGACUUAGUUAUGGAAUCUUAAGAAAUGAAAAACUUGAAGGACUUCUUAUACAGAAUUAAAAGUUGGUAGAGCAGUUGGUGAAUCUAAGCCAAAGAAAAAUUACCAGAAGAAAAACUGCUGCACAACAUGGAGUCGUCCUAUAACUCUGACAUAAGGCCCAAGAACAGGCUUUUAUUGUGACAGGGUCUCUCAAAGAGGACAGUAUGUCGAUUUCAGUGUUACUGGUGUCAAAAGAUGUUUUUUCACAAAAGUCAUGCAGAGCGGCACCAGUUUUAUCACUGUAAAAAAAGACCAGCUAAUCUGCAAAAGCAGUUUGUUUGUGAACUUUGUAAGAAAGAAUAUUGUAGACCUGAAUUGUUGGAACAACACAAAAUUAUGUACCAUUAAAAAGUAGAAAUAUUGUGAUGGUUUAAAAGUCAGUAAUAACUGAAAGUUAGGUAAAGUACUUUGUUCAUGUAGAAAAAUUUUUAAUGUAGAGUUUGUACAAAUCUUACUAUGAAGUAUUCUUAGUGUUAAAUAUAACAGCGUUAAUCACUUGUUAAUUUACACUUUGUUUAAAAGUCCAUGCCUACAAGGGUUGUGGUUUUUAUUUUAACUUUAGCUUCUGUAUAGAUUUACAUAUAUAUAGAUAUAUAUACCAUGGAAUAUACUACUCUGAUGAUUUUAAAAUUGAAUUGUCUUAAAUUAUGAAAGUGUUUGUUACAUGGCAUUCUGUGGUUGUAUAUUUAACUUUUUGUUUUGUAUCAAAGGUGUAAAGAAGAGAAAAUGUUUGAGUAAAAAUAAUUAUUGUGACUUUUGAAGCAUUAGAUGUACAAAGUACCUUUUCUUGGAAUAAUCUUGUCCUAAUUUCUUGUUUGUAUAUCAAACAUAAAUGUAGUUUUUUUUUAAAUAUAAUUAUAUUCCUAUAAAUCUUUUAA